GGAGAAUUGGCCGAGUGGCUGAAGGCGCUCCCCUGCUAAGGGAGUACACCCUUAUACGGUGUCGAGAGUUCGAAUCUCUCAUUCUCCGCCA
RNAcentral lists this transfer RNA (91 nucleotides) under Pseudomonas sp. RNAcentral's name for it is "tRNA-Ser". It matches the Rfam family "tRNA". From Rfam's summary of the family: Transfer RNA (tRNA) molecules are approximately 80 nucleotides in length. Their secondary structure includes four short double-helical elements and three loops (D, anti-codon, and T loops). The record is from RNAcentral. Lineage: Bacteria; Pseudomonadati; Pseudomonadota; Gammaproteobacteria; Pseudomonadales; Pseudomonadaceae. RNAcentral also lists the same sequence under 3 other names.